Molecule: ribosomal RNA, 637 nt
Filed under: uncultured bacterium
Lineage: Bacteria
Description: bacterial SSU rRNA
Rfam family: Bacterial small subunit ribosomal RNA
Source: RNAcentral
GCUCAACCGAGGAAGUGCUUCGAAAACUGGUAAACUUGAGUGCAGAAGAGGAAAGUGGAACUCCAUGUGUAGCGGUGGAAUGCGUAGAUAUAUGGAAGAACACCAGUGGCGAAGGCGGCUUUCUGGUCUGUAACUGACGCUGAGAUUCGAAAGCAUGGGUAGCAAACAGGAUUAGAUACCCUGGUAGUCCAUGCCGUAAACGAUGAGUGCUAAGUGUUGGAGGGUUUCCGCCCUUCAGUGCUGCAGCUAACGCAUUAAGCACUCCGCCUGGGGAGUACGAUCGCAAGAUUGAAACUCAAAGGAAUUGACGGGGGCCCGCACAAGCGGUGGAGCAUGUGGUUUAAUUCGAAGCAACGCGAAGAACCUUACCAGGUCUUGACAUACCAUGAAAAGCUAAGAGAUUAGUCUUUCCCUUCGGGGACAUGGAUACAGGUGGUGCAUGGUUGUCGUCAGCUCGUGUCGUGAGAUGUUGGGUUAAGUCCCGCAACGAGCGCAACCCUUAUUAUCAGUUGCCAGCAUUCAGUUGGGCACUCUGGUGAGACUGCCGGUGACAAACCGGAGGAAGGUGGGGACGACGUCAAAUCAUCAUGCCCCUUAUGACCUGGGCUACACACGUGCUACAAUGGUCGGUACAACG